RNAcentral lists this unclassified non-coding RNA (381 nucleotides) under uncultured bacterium. Its description in RNAcentral is "contains 16S-23S intergenic spacer region". The record is from RNAcentral.
UCACGGUUUGCACCGGCAGUCUGGUUAGAGUCCCCAUCUUUACAUGCUGGUAACUAACCACAGGGGUUGCGCUCGUUAUAGGACUUAACCCAACAUCUCACGACACGAGCUGACGACAGCCAUGCAGCACCUGUGUCCAGGUUCCCUUUCGGGCACACCUCCAUCUCUGGAGGCUUCCUGGCAUGUCAAGGGUAGGUAAGGUUUUUCGCGUUGCAUCGAAUUAAUCCACAUAAUCCACCGCUUGUGCGGGUCCCCGUCAAUUCCUUUGAGUUUUAGCCUUGCGGCCGUAGUCCCCAGGCGGGGCACUUACUGCGUUUGCGGCGGCACCGGGGGGGUCGAUACCCCCGACACCUAGUGCUCAUCGUUUACGGCGUGGACUAC